CAAGGACAGAAUUCUAAGGUUUUUCUUCUUUAAUAUUGUCAAGUACUAUCUAAUCUACUUUAUCAAACAUCCCAUAAUUGUGCUAGACUAACUUUUUGACAAAUUUUGCACUUGCAAGUUCAGCUACUUCUUCCCAAGCGAUGCACAGAUAACAAGGUCAAAGAUGAUCUAGGUGCAUUCUCAAUUUAAAUAUUUAUUUAUCAUUUUAUUUUUCAGUUGUUGCUAUGCAAUAAGAGAGUAACUGAAUCCUUUUGUAAUGAUUAAAACAUUCUUUAACAGACUUCUAAUAGAAAAAAUGUUAUAUGAAUA
Olea europaea var. sylvestris is the source of this 309-nucleotide long non-coding RNA. RefSeq lists it as uncharacterized. The record is from RefSeq and is a predicted model, not a curated record. Lineage: Eukaryota; Viridiplantae; Streptophyta; Magnoliopsida; Lamiales; Oleaceae. The transcript has 2 exons.